Molecule: long non-coding RNA, 2904 nt
Organism: Megalobrama amblycephala (Wuchang bream)
Lineage: Eukaryota; Metazoa; Chordata; Actinopteri; Cypriniformes; Xenocyprididae
Exons: 3
Source: RefSeq, a predicted model, not a curated record
AAUCUAUGGGGUAUUUUGAGCUGAAACUUCACAGACACAUUCAGGGGACACCUUAGACUUAUAUUACAUCUUUUAAAAAGACGUUCUACGGCACCUUUAAUGUGUUAUUUAAUGAAAAUCCUGACCUUGGCCGUUGGUCUUCUGUGCUCAGUUAAUGAGACUCUAUUAGUGCCGCAGUUCACUCCGACUUGCCCAGAAAUCAAGAUUAAUAAUAACACAACAUGAAAUGCAAUCCAUGUACUUUCUUCUCUGAGAUUUAUAAAUUCGUUGUGUUUGUCACAACAAAAAGUUAUCGUGUUCAAAUCUGUGAACUGUCAUUCUGACUGUUAUCAGUCCAGAGAUAUUCAACUCAGUGAAGAAAGUACAAGGAUACUUUUUUGGGAUUUCUAGGCAUUCUAUUUCAUGUUGCAUAUUUAUUAAUCUUGAUUUCUUACAACAUGUGUGCUUUUCUGGGCGAGUUAAUGAAUUGCGAUGCUAAUAGCGUCUCACGAAAGCGCACGUUGUGCAGUCCAGCACAGAAGACCAAUGAUCAUGGUCAGGAUUUUUGUUAAAUAUUACAUUAGUUUUCAUUUUGUUUUUCACUAAGCCCUAUCGUUUACCCCCAGAACACUUGAAAUAUACGGCACGUGUCGCAUGGGAUCAUUCUGUGAUACUUUUGCGUCUUUUUUAAAAACUUGAUGCUGGUCGCCAUUCACUACCAUUAUUUUGACAAUUUCUUUUUUUAAAUUCUCCUUUUGUGGACCAUAAAAGAAAGAAAGGCAUACGGCAUUAUAACAACAGCGGGGUGAGUAAAUGAUGACUUAAAUUUUCAUUUUAGGGUGAACUAUCACUUUAACUUUUCUAUAGUGCACUGAAACUCAGCAAACAGGGAAGUUCACUGAAGAUACUGAACGCCAUCUUUUCUUUGUGGAGGCUAAUCAUCAUGUGACUUUCAAACCAGCCUAUGACAGAAUCAUACAUGUGCACCAAUAGAAGAAUAAGAUAUAUUUUAUACUGGAUUUUUUUAGUUCUAAGAGACAACUGGAUGAUCCACGAUGACCCGGAGGCUGACCAGAUGAACUUCCACAUAGACACAGGACUUCUUAAUCAGUCUUCAAAGCUUCCUCUGCGGAGUUUAAGAGUAAAGGCACAGUCUCCAUGGAUCACAGGGAUUUUAUUAUGUCUCUUUGUAUUUGAUGUGCAUUCAAACACCUUUCUAUGAGAUUUUUGAAGAAACGCAUCAGGAAUAGUGAUCAUCUGAGACCCGUCUUCUGAGUUCUCGUAUAAUGGGUCAAUUAGAAGUAAAAUAGAACGGAGUCUUCCCAUGAGCCUUCUGGGCCAGACAGAAGAUUUAUUACCCGCGCUGGUAUCUGAAUGAUGGAUAGAGCAGUAAAGCCUGGUUAUUUUAGAUGGCAGGAUGCCCAGAAGAGGAACAGGUGAACAGAGGUCAGUCAGGGAUGCCUCCUAUCUCCGAAGCUCCUCAACAUCAUCUUGGAGAGAAUAAUGAUGGAAGCAUUGGAGAACCACACAGGAACUGUCAGCGCUGAUAAGACAAAACGGAGGACAAUCUGUCCCCAAAGUAUUGCAGCACAAAUAACCAUCCAGAACCAGUGCCUGCACUCCCGGUGUCCCAGUUCAAAUAACUUCCAAGCCAGAAAUUAUGGCCAGGAUAGCCCAGACUACAACAGCACUUGCUAGACUGAAGCCAAUAUAGAGGGACAAAAACAUCAAAGCUCAGACUUAUGCAUACUCAAGUUAUCUCCAUCUACCUGCAUGCAUGUGAAUCGUGGACACUGACGGCUGAGCUUGAGAGGAAAAUUCUGGCCUUGGAAAUGAGAUGCUUUCAAAAGAUUCUGGGCAUCAGCUAAAAAGACCAUGUGACCAAUGAGGACAUGUGCAACACCAUUAUAGGCAGCAUGCUGGGCCCUAUGAAGAACUCCUGGCAACAGUCAUAAGAAGGAAAUUGCAGUGCUAUGGUGCAGUGCAUUCGGUUGAAGGUACAAGAAGGAUAUAUAUUUUUUUCUUUUUCAUUUUUAUGAUAUCUCAACCAUUUCACACGCAUGCAUGUACUGAAAUACAACUACAGCUGCCUAGUUUACAGAGCGUUUCAUGUGUGCGUACAUCACUGCAGCAGUCUGUUAUGUGUUGCACUUCAAUGAUUCAAACAUCCUGUCUGCCAGAGUGAGUCAACAUCUCAUUCACAAAUAAAUGAACAGAUGCUUACAUACACACGCUGAGAAACGAGCCAAACACAUCCUGAAAUACCCUCGGCGGAUGCCUCAAAGCCUCUCCGUUCAACAUGACAACAUGACAACACUUUCUUAUAAUCAGCCUGUCAAACACUCCCCAGGUUUCCUGAGCUUACCUGCAGAUUCCAUAUGGAGAAACAAUACUGAGGAUUGGAGGAGAGAGAGAUAUUCCAGCCCCAUAUGGGGCUGCCAUCAGGUCUGAAACUGCCAUCAAAACCGACUCUGAGAACAAGAACAAGUGCUAGAGGAAAAGAGAGAACAAAUAUAAGAGUUAAAUGGAGCUCAAACCAAUUGUGAUAUGAUCUGUAAUCCGAGAAAGAUGACAGGACAUUGAGAUGAUUUAACACAGCUGGGUGAAUGAAGUGGAAAACCUGGGCCACCUUUAUUCUCUCUAAACCACCUUAUAAUUCCUCUACAUCACAUCUGAAAACAUCUCAUUAUCAGUGAGCAAUGCUGCAUUUUGUUUUCCCUUUUAUUAUAUUUUUGCCUUUGCACUAGUAUGCACCAUUAUCAACAAGUAUGCUGAAAACACCUCAUGAUACUAAUUUUUGGCCUUCUUUAUCAUUCAUACAAAAUGUUAUGUUUAAGUCUUAUUGUUUGUUCACUUUUAUAUGCAAUAGAAAAAAAUAUAUAACUAAGCUAACAAAAAUAUGUUCUAAGAACAUUUCUCCAAUGU